This 837-nucleotide ribosomal RNA is filed under the name Microbulbifer sp. CBMAI 1191. Its description in RNAcentral is "bacterial SSU rRNA". It matches the Rfam family "Bacterial small subunit ribosomal RNA", at positions 103 to 936 of the family's 1533-position model. Lineage: Bacteria; Pseudomonadati; Pseudomonadota; Gammaproteobacteria; Cellvibrionales; Microbulbiferaceae. The record is from RNAcentral.
CGGGUGAGUAACGCGUGGGAAAUUGCCCAGUAGUGGGGGACAACAUUCGGAAACGGAUGCUAAUACCGCAUACGCCCUACGGGGGAAAGCAGGGGAUCUUCGGACCUUGCGCUAUUGGAUAUGCCCGCGUCGGAUUAGCUAGUUGGUGAGGUAAUGGCUCACCAAGGCAACGAUCCGUAGCUGGUCUGAGAGGAUGAUCAGCCACACUGGGACUGAGACACGGCCCAGACUCCUACGGGAGGCAGCAGUGGGGAAUAUUGGACAAUGGGCGCAAGCCUGAUCCAGCCAUGCCGCGUGUGUGAAGAAGGCCCUAGGGUUGUAAAGCACUUUCAGUAGGGAGGAAGGCCUUAAAGUUAAUACCUUUGAGGAUUGACGUUACCUACAGAAGAAGCACCGGCUAACUCCGUGCCAGCAGCCGCGGUAAUACGGAGGGUGCGAGCGUUAAUCGGAAUUACUGGGCGUAAAGCGCGCGUAGGCGGUUAGUUAAGCUGGAUGUGAAAGCCCCGGGCUCAACCUGGGAACUGCAUUCAGAACUGGCUGGCUAGAGUACGAGAGAGGGUAGUGGAAUUUCCUGUGUAGCGGUGAAAUGCGUAGAUAUAGGAAGGAACAUCAGUGGCGAAGGCGACUGCCUGGCUCGAUACUGACGCUGAGGUGCGAAAGCGUGGGGACUAAACAGGAUUAGAUACCCUGCUAGUCCACGCCGUAAACGAUGUCUACUAGUCGUAGGGUUCCUUGAGGACUUUGUGACGCAGCUAACGCAAUAAGUAGACCGCCUGGGGAGUACGGCCGCAAGGUUAAAACUCAAAUGAAGUGACGGGGGCCCGCACAAGCGGUGGA